RNAcentral lists this ribosomal RNA (505 nucleotides) under uncultured bacterium. RNAcentral's name for it is "partial 16S ribosomal RNA". It matches the Rfam family "Bacterial small subunit ribosomal RNA", at positions 28 to 507 of the family's 1533-position model. The record is from RNAcentral.
GACGAACGCUGGCGGCGUGCCUAAUACAUGCAGGUAGAACGCACAGUUUAUACCGUAGCUUGCUACACCAUAGACUGUGAGUUGCGAACGGGUGAGUAACGCGUAGGUAACCUGCCUGGUAGCGGGGGAUAACUAUUGGAAACGAUAGCUAAUACCGCAUAAUAUUAAUUAUUGCAUGAUAAUUAAUUGAAAGGUGCAAUUGCACCACUACCAGAUGGACCUGCGUUGUAUUAGCUAGUAGGUGAGGUAACGGCUCACCUAGGCGACGAUACAUAGCCGACCUGAGAGGGUGAUCGGCCACACUGGGACUGAGACACGGCCCAGACUCCUACGGGAGGCAGCAGUAGGGAAUCUUCGGCAAUGGACGAAAGUCUGACCGAGCAACGCCGCGGGAGUGAAGAAGGUUUUCGGAUCGUAAAGCUCUGUUGUAAGAGAAGAACGGGUGUGAGAGUGGAAAGUUCACACUGUGACGGUAUCUUACCAGAAAGGGACGGCUAACUACGUG